CACCUGGAGGCAAACUAGAGGCAACCUAGGUUCGCUCUAACUGCUGUCAUCGUGCUCAUUUAUUGCUCGAGAGGCAACCUAGGUUCGCUCGAAAAAGGGACGGAGUCGCCCUGAGAAAAAAGUCAGUUUUGCGAGAAGUUCACCAAUACUCUCAACGUUGUUGUCAAAACAUUAAACAGCUGUUUUUGGCUAAAAACAAAACAGUUGAAAUAAUGAACGGGCAAAUGAUUAUUGCCGCGAUUUUGAACCUCUCAGCCAAGCAAAAUCGUACUAUCUGCAGUCCAGUGCAAUCCGGACACGAAAAACGGCAAUCCGGACACGAAAAACGGCAAUCCGGAUGUGAAGAACCGAAUGGAGGAAUAGAGAAGGGAGGACAAAAUGACAGCUGCAUGUAAACAUUGCGCUCGUUCUCACGCACACCUACGUAUGGAAUAACUCGAAACCCGAAACUUGCUUUUUUAUUCUGACGGUUCCAGAGCCAAAUCCGGAAUCAAAAAAAAAUACGCCAUAAAAUCCAAACCAAAACGAACAUUGGUAGACUUUCGUUUUUUUUACCUAAUUAAAAUUUUUCGUGUAAUCGUUGAAGGCUAAAAUAUUUUUUUCGUGUUAGUCUUGUUUGCGCGCCAUUUUUUUUGGGACACAAUUCUUUAUUGCGGUCGAUAGGAGUUAUUUGCGAAAUCUUUUGGCGUUGAUCGAAAUGGCAGUGAAUCAAGGACGAGUGGAACCAGCGAUGUCACGAAACAGUGCCUGCCUAUGUUUUUGUGGAUCCGCCGAUCGAAUGGCGGCCGCUGCCCCACGGAACAAGAGUUGGCGUGGUAAAAUUUUACCAUUUUCAAGCGCUUCAGUCGCAUCAUCGUCUGCUACACCAUCAACAUAAGAAGUAUUGCAACGCGGGAUGUUUUGCUGAAAUCAUCAGCAAAUGGCAUUUUGAAGGCGAAUUGUGGACAGUAUGGAGUUAAUUUCCGAAUCAUAACACCCAAGUAUCCAGGAAAAGGGGAAUAGAAAAAAUAUGUUAAAUGUAAGAAGAUUUGUAAUAAUAAAAUAGUUAAUUUUAA
Molecule: long non-coding RNA, 1055 nt
Organism: Uranotaenia lowii
Lineage: Eukaryota; Metazoa; Arthropoda; Insecta; Diptera; Culicidae
Exons: 2
Source: RefSeq, a predicted model, not a curated record